AUGCAAAGUUUUAGAAAGUAAACAGCAACGGAUCGGAGUCAGAACGUUCCAGAUGGCUGGGCUGCACCGGCUCCCUCGGAAGCUGGAAACUGCCGUGCCGAACAGAGGCUGCGUGAAGGGCCGGAAACACAAGUCGCCGGCAUUUCUGUCUCCUUGUGGGCAUGACGUAGUGGUGCGGGCUGCUGCUUGUGCCAGGUGUCCUCACCCCUGCUUGAAGGGGUGAAGUGACUGUGCGUCAGAGACCCCGAAAACAGCCACCAUUUCCAAAGCUACGUUUCUAUGCAAUGGAGGAAAUUCGCGUGAGCCUGACAGUGCGUCCGCUGUCCGCGGCGGGCCCCUGUUGCAGAUGUGAAAAUCUGAUGCUUGUCCAAGAUCACCCAGCUAGGGAGUGAGGACCUGGGAGCAGCACUUCUGAAGCAACAGGAAAAGCCAAAGCCAUCUGGAGAGGGUAUCGUGGUCACUUGAGCGGAGGGAAGAGAGGUCAGGCUCCCCGGCAGAGGGGCAGGAGGUGGAAGGGAGCACAGAUGCCUCGUCAAACCCAUGCCCUCGGGAGUCGGCGGGAGCCUGGGGGACUCGCUCAUCCACGGCUGUGGGGGCCUUUGCAUGACUCCGGGGGCAGAGGGACCGGGAUGGUUCUUUGGGCACUCCUGUCGUGCCUGCCUCUAGGGCUGUGUCAGGAGGUCUGGCCUUAACUCUCAAGGAACAGGUACCCUUUGCAGUCUGUCCCCAGAGGGCAUGGUUGUGCCAGGAUGGGUGAACUGGACACGGGGGUCGGGAGAUCAUGCUCGUCCUGGUGCCCGGGAACCCCAAGCAGAGGACCCGGCAUAGAGCUGGGCGGACGGCAGAACCGCACCCUGAGCGCCCACUGCCCGCGGGCGCCGAGGAGGCCUCUGGAGGACAGUGUUUCCUCACGGACGUAGGUGCGCUUUACCUAACGUUUCUUGGAGAAGGAAAUUGAAGCUGAGAGGAUCUAGUGACCUGUGAGCCCUGCAGAGGCCAGGCAGAGCUGGGACAUUUCCAGAAACAUCUUCCGGGAAAGGAAAUGAAUCUGAAUGCACCAAGACUGCUCUGGUUACAAGUGACAGAAACCCGGAUGAGAGCGGCAGACAGCAGGUUCAUUGGUCUUGAAGCUGGGUGCAGGCACAGCUGGGCUCAGGGUCCACGUGCUUCGUAGGGCCCCUCUCUCUGCUGAGUUCUUCAUUCUCCGCUGGGCCUCGGCGGCCAGGGAAGGUGAACCCCGUGGGCUUCCUACCCAUGUCCCACAGGGGUGUAAGCGUCGUGGGGAAAAACACCAUUUGCCAGUCUUCCACAAAACAAAAUUCAAAGAACUGAGUUUCGUGGUUGUGUGCUGGGCGAUGCAUCCGGCCCCAAACCAGUCCUUGGACGGGAGGCAUGGGAACGUGCUAACUGGCCAGAUGCGUCACGGGCUAUUUCUGAAUCUGGGAGUGGGGGCUCCCCCACAUCAAUCAAUAGAUUAGAAUAGGCGACUCCUCAAGGAAGCUUGGAGAACAGUUGUGUGAGGAGGAGACACGGAUGCGGGCCCAGCCACGUGACACACAGCUGUCACAGAAACAAACGGUUCGCACGGCUAGCUGUGAGCCUGGGUCAUACCACGUGAGCCCUACUCUCCAGCGCAUCUUCUUCAGCUCCGUGCAAGGUGGACGUUCUUUUUUUUUUUUUUUAAAGAUUUUAUUUAUUUAUUUGACAGACAGAUCACAGGUAGGCAGAGAAGCAUGUUUAGAGAGAGGAGGAAGCAGGCUCCCCGCUGAGCAGAGAGCCUGAUGUGGGGCUCGAUCCCAGAACCGUGGGAUCAUGACCUGAGCCGAAGGCAGAGGCUUUAACCCACUGAGCCACCCAGGCGCCCCCAAGGUGGACGUUCUUAACGUAGGCUCCAGCCUCACCGCCACCCACGCCUGCGUUUAGCAGCUCUGGCCCAGCUGCAUGCACUUGUACCUGUAGCGGGUAGCGGUCGUUAAAGAAAUGAAUUAAGUUAAGUGAAUUGAAUUAAAGAAUUGAAUUGAGUUAACUGAAUUGAGUUAAAGAAAUGAAUCCGAAGAAAGAGAGAGAAAAUCUCUAUGUGUGUAUUUUACAUACGUG
Long non-coding RNA from Mustela lutreola (European mink), 2097 nucleotides. RefSeq lists it as uncharacterized. The transcript has 3 exons. The record is from RefSeq and is a predicted model, not a curated record. Lineage: Eukaryota; Metazoa; Chordata; Mammalia; Carnivora; Mustelidae.